Molecule: long non-coding RNA, 269 nt
Organism: Quercus lobata
Lineage: Eukaryota; Viridiplantae; Streptophyta; Magnoliopsida; Fagales; Fagaceae
Exons: 3
Source: RefSeq, a predicted model, not a curated record
UUGUUUGUCAUAUCAAGCUUCGACACCCAGAAAUUAUAAGCUAUCUAAAACAUCACCCUGCUCCUCCCUGAUAAGAAUUUGAACUCUCUUACGAAGAAAAUGAAGCAAAAGGUAGUGAUCCGGGUGAACUUGAAUAAUGGCAAAAAGAAUGCUCGGACCAAGGCCUUGCAGAUUGCAGUUGGUGUACAAGGUGUUGAAUCAGUAUCUUUACAAGGUGAGGAUAGCAGUCAAAUUGUUGUUGUUGGGAAUGACAUUGAUUUAGUCCACUU